Molecule: non-coding RNA, 655 nt
Organism: Vicugna pacos (alpaca)
Lineage: Eukaryota; Metazoa; Chordata; Mammalia; Artiodactyla; Camelidae
Source: the annotation of a RefSeq genome assembly
UCCUUCAGCCGUGGUUCAUGUUUGCCUUUAGGCGCUGGUUUGACUUGCCUGCCUCUGCGGCCACAAGACAGAUGGCUUGCUGUGCAGAGAGGGGUUCUUGGUUCCUGAGUGAGGAGUUUCUAUAACAUCCAGCUGGAGACUAGAGCUAUUAGAUUUGCUGUAUUCCAGGGAGCAAGGACCAUUUUCCACUUCGAACAUGCUUUGUGCCUCUCACCUACUUCUUGUGAUCUUAUUAUUAUACAGGGGAACCAGUGGAGACUCAGUGACCCAGACUGAAGUCCCAGUCACUCUCUCAGAGCAGGAGCUUUUGAUGCUGAACUGCACUUACCAGACCACUGAUUCAGAUCCCUACCUGUUUUGGUAUGUGCAGUACGUCAACAAAGCUCCUCAACUCCUCCUGAAGGGCUCAACUACAAACCCAAGGCCAGAGCAUCAAGGUUUUCAGGCCACUCUUGAUAAGAGUAGCAGGAACUUCCACCUGCAGAAACCGUCCGUGCAGACGUCAGACUCGGCCGUGUACUACUGUGCUCUGGGAGACACAGUGAGAGGGGCUGCAGGGGGAGCUGAGCACAAACCCAGGUUUGCGCAGCUCAACUCCUGUCUUCACCUGUCGGGACCGUACUUCCUGGGAGCACAGCGCGGGGCACAGCAGUGA